This 253-nucleotide ribosomal RNA is filed under the name uncultured bacterium. Its description in RNAcentral is "partial 16S ribosomal RNA". It matches the Rfam family "Bacterial small subunit ribosomal RNA", at positions 524 to 776 of the family's 1533-position model. The record is from RNAcentral.
UACGUAGGGGGCGAGCGUUGUCCGGAGUUACUGGGCGUAAAGCGCACGCAGGCGGUCUGUUAAGUUUGGAGUGACAGUUGGUGGCUCAACCACCAAAGUGCUUUGAAGACUGAUAGACUUGAGGGCUUCAGAGGGACACGGAAUUCCGGGUGGAGUGGUGAAAUGCGUAGAGAUCCGGAGGAACACCAAAGGCGAAGGCAGUGUCCUGGGGAGUACCUGACGCUCAGGUGCGAAGGCCAGGGGAGCGAACGGG